RNAcentral lists this ribosomal RNA (1014 nucleotides) under Triticum aestivum (bread wheat). RNAcentral describes it as "partial small subunit ribosomal RNA". Lineage: Eukaryota; Viridiplantae; Streptophyta; Magnoliopsida; Poales; Poaceae. The record is from RNAcentral.
AUGCUACUGGCGCGCGCCCCGCCGUCGGCGUUCAACUCCCCGGCGCUCUCGGUGCGCGCCUUCCGCCGUCGCCGCCUCGCUGCUCCCGGUGCCGCCGCGACGGCCGCGUCCAACCCGCCUUCUCUCCGGGUCGGGCAAAGGCGCAAGCAGGUGGCGAGCGUGGCGAACCCCCUGGUGAAGCACUGCGUGAAGCUCCGGGACUCGGCCGCCUACCGACGGUCCUGCCGCCGGCUCGUCCUCGUCGGCCUCGCCCCCAUCCUGGAGAUCUGCAGGCUUGGGUUCGCCGCAAUCGAUUGCUUGCUUCUCCUGGACGGCGCAGAGGUCCCGGGUGAACUGCAUGAGCUCUCUGGUGGCAAUGUUGUGUAUGUCAGCGCCACUGUGAUGAAGAAGAUCUCCGGGAUGCAGUCGGUUGAUUCAACCGAGGCGAUUGCUGUCAUGCACAUGCCUAAGCAUUUCUGUGACCUCGGUGAUGAUGAGGGUGGAGCUGGUCUUGACGCGUCGUUCCUGUCUCCAAAGAGGAUUCUAGUCCUUGAUGGGAUUCAGGAUCCGGGUAACCUUGGAACGUUGAUAAGGUCAGCUUGCGCGUUCAAAUGGGAUGGGGUAUUUCUUCUUCCGGCUUGCUGUGAUCCUUUCAAUGAAAAGGUUCUUCGUGCAGCUCGUGGAGCCUCUUUGCAGCUUCCAAUUAUCUCUGGCAACUGGUGUGAUCUGCAUGAUUUGGUAACUAGAUAUGGCAUGAAGAUGUUGGCAGGCCAUCCAGAAAGUAGCAGUGAUGGAUCUGAAAAAACCCAUGUGCUGUCCAAAGAGCUUGCAGACUCACUGAUGAGUGAGUCACUAUGCUUAGUGUUAGGAAGUGAGGGCAAUGGCCUCUCUGAAGAGACCGUCCAAGCUUGUGAUCUUGUAAGCAUUCCUAUGGAAGGUAUUUUUGAAUCUCUGAAUGUUUCUGUUGCUGGGGGUAUCUUUUUAUUCAUGUUACAACCCAAACAGCAAACAUAUAGCAGAAUUUCAACUCCGUAA